GAUUAGAUACCCUAGUAUAAAAAAAAGAUAAAAAUUAAUAUAAUUGAAAAUUAAAGAUGUUGGCGGUUAAUUUUUUUGUAGAGGAGCUUGUAAUUAAUAGAAUUGGCUCUUUAUAUUUUAGUAGUAAAAGACUUAUUCAUCUCCGUUAUCAAAUAAGUUUAAAUAAAUAUUUUUAAUAUAUCAGGUCAAGAUGUAGUGUUUAUUAAAGAUUAUUAGCUACAUUUAUAUAAUAUAUGGAGAAAUGCUGGGAGAUGAAUUUUGAAAUUGAAUUUAAUUGUAAUAGUAAUUAGAAAGUUAUUAUGAAUGUAAUUAAUUAGUGUACAGAUUGCCCGUCACUUCUAUUAUAGGUAGAAUAAGUCGUAACAAAGUA
RNAcentral lists this ribosomal RNA (370 nucleotides) under Pristocnemus pustulatus. Its description in RNAcentral is "partial small subunit ribosomal RNA". Lineage: Eukaryota; Metazoa; Arthropoda; Arachnida; Opiliones; Gonyleptidae. The record is from RNAcentral.